RNAcentral lists this long non-coding RNA (2587 nucleotides) under Sus scrofa (pig). Its description in RNAcentral is "lncRNA (ENSSSCG00060055318.1)". Lineage: Eukaryota; Metazoa; Chordata; Mammalia; Artiodactyla; Suidae. The record is from RNAcentral.
GAGAGAGUGUGGAUUUAGAGGAGUCUUCGGGAAGCUGGGGCAGCUCAAGGAUUGCGUACGCGAAAAGCUCUACACAGGACAACUCAGAAGAGACAUUUGGUGCCAUCGUAAUUCACUGUGGAAAUACUGCUGCCGCCGACGCAGCCGUGCCCUGCCCGCAGACGCCUUGCUUGUACCUGGUAAGGACAGCUCACCCAGUGGGACCAAAGAGAGAUCCCCUUCUACCAGCUUCCAGGACAGGCUUCGUAACCUCUCCCCACCUCUCGAGUUUAAUGCCCUGCUAUCACCGCCUUGAAAGCCUUAAUAAUUUUUGGAACAAAAGAUCGGCAUUUUCAAUGUCCCACACAUUGCAUAACCGUGACCAUCUCUCAUGGGUGAGGAAACGGAACUGCUGAAGCUUUGAACCUGUGUGUCUGGCCACAGACUUGCUGACCCUGGCUGUAGCCGCUACAGUUUCCUUAACUAAAUUGUCCGGGAGUGGGGAGACAGAUGGAUGCUUUUCCCACCUUCUCCACUUUCACCAUUCUGACUCCCUGAUCACUGCCUGGUCUCUCAAGACUUGGGGUUCAGUUUGGUUAAUUUAACAGAAGUCACCGGUAAAUCAGCUUUGGAAAAACGCGAGAGAGGGUGCCUCCUCUUCCCAGGCCAGAGAUGGGUCUCCCCCUAGUGUCUCCUAGGGGAAUCUUUGCUUUUGCUUUUUGUUUUCCCCUUGGAGGUGAUUUUUAGGUAAUUCCUAAAAUUUCAAGAGUUUAGCAGCCAGGGAAUUCCCAGCCAGCUUUUUGGCCCAUGGCUUCUCCCCGGCAGGGCUGGCGGUCAUAGCGUCCUUUGGUCCCUGGGUCACACCAGAGGCCAGUGCUCCUCACCUGGUGAGGUGGCUUCUGGGUGCAUGGGAAGAAUGACCCACAGGAGCCCACACCACAGUGCUGGGAAGCAGGAGUUGCCAUGGGGUUGAAUGAGCCAGGGUCACCUCGUCUGCUCCCCUCCUCCACCUUGCCUUGCAACUGCCUGAACCCUGCUUUCUCUGCAUCAGUGAUUUUCAAAUGUUGCCGUGCCUCACAAUUACCUGGAGGGCUUGUUAAAUCACUAAUUACUGGGCUCCAACCCCAGAGUUUCUGAGCCAGUUUAUCUGGGGCUGGGGAUUUUGCUUUUAUGACAAGUUCCCAGACAGUGUUGAUAUGCUGGUCCAAGGACCCUACUUCUUUAGAUGGAAGGUGGUGAUAAGAGAAGGGGGCUUCUCUGCCUUGGCCCCGCCCCCCCAAGCAGGUGAAGUUCAGUAGGACAUGACUGAGAAAAACCCAAUAGAGAGCUAUUGCGCAAUACUUUCUGCUGCGUGUUAACAAAAGAAAGCGCAGUUUGCCUUUGUGAUAUCUUAUUCUCAUCACUCCCACUUUUUCUGCAAGCACUUCUCUCGGGGUUGUUGCAGAAACCUGUAUUGCAUAUAAACAUUUGCUUGUAUCCACCCUCUGUUAUCCAUCCAUCUCUUCACAGGCUUGAGACCUGUUCCGAGAUUGCUCCCUCCAGCUUUGGGAGGGCAGUGGGCUGGGUAAGCUCCAGGGUGUGGACCAAGCCUGAGCUCUGGUGACAGCUUGGUGUGGCAAGAAGAAGGGACCUGGCAAAGAGCGUCUCACUGGAAGGCUAAGUUUGAAAUGCCAUUUGUGAAACAAUUGCCAAUAGUCACCAUCUCUAUCCCCUUCCCCCCAAGCAUGAAUUUGGGAAGCUCAGCCUGGAUUCCCAGGAUGGAGAGGCUCAUGGGAUGAGUGUCUCCUCUAGCCCUGGGAAACUGAUGACCCUCUGGAGCAGCUGGGCAUAAGCCCCUUUCCCAGUUCCUGAGCUGUCCAGAAAAAAAUGCUCAGGUUUUUCACGUUGUGGCGGAGUGGAAACGAAUCUGACUGGGGACCAUGGGGUUGUGGGUUCGAUCCCUGACCUAGCUCAGUGGGUUGAGGAUCCAGCAUUGCCAUGAGCUGUGAUGUAGAUCACAAAUGCGGCUCAGAUCUGGCAUUGCUGUGGCUCUGGCCUAGGCUGGCGGCAACAGCUCCCAUUGGGCCCCUAGCCAGGGAACCUCCAUAUGCCGCGGGUGCAGCCCUUAAUAAAAGAGCCAAAAAGAAAAAAAAAAAUGCUCAGGUUUUGUUUUCCCUCUUUAGCUCCAAUUUGGAGGAGUGCUGGGGCUUCUCUUAGCCCUGAAGCAGGGAAGAGAUCGGGCAGGGCCAGAGCCCUCCAUUUGGCUUCUGGGAUGGGAAUAGAGAUGAAAACGGAGAUAACAUAACUUCAUGUAACCCAUCCAAAAAGUUCAUCAAGUUUAUCUUAAGGCUCAUCUCCCUGAGCUAAGAAAUGGAGGUCAAGGGAGUUAGCUGACUUUCCAAACCCCAGUAGGAGGUUCUCUGCCUGGGUCUUGCCUCUUCUGAUGCCGGAUUGGCCAGCCCAGUCCCCUUCUUCCCUGUAAGAGCAUCUUCUCCAAUCACUCACACACACACACACACACACACACACACACACACACACACACACACACACACACACACAUGCAGUUCAUUCCUCCUUUCCCAGGGAAGAAGUACUAAAUAAACUCUAAUCUCGUGGUAGGGUCAAG